GGCCACCUUUAUACAUUAGACAUUAAAUUUCAGAUUUUUGUUGAGUGAAAAUUCUCUUAGAGUUUCUCCAAGAAUUCUCUAUUAAGUUUUCUUUAGAAGUAAUUUUAACAAUCUUUUUUAUUGUAGGAGCCAUCUUCGGCCUUCUUUUUGCCGUGUGCUUACAUCGGAGGGGAGAUUAGAGCCGUUUGAAGGGAGUUGUGAAAUCUUUUUCGAUUUUAAGGCUUCUUAGGACUUUUCUUAUCUUUAUUGUUGUUUGUUUUUCUUUAGAUUUUUCUGCUUGUGCCGAUUCAUUGAUUAACUUGUUUUAUUCAUUCUUGUUGCGUUUCCAGCCCUUUUCAAUCUUCAAGAAGUUGAUCGGCACCUUUCUUGGCAGCAAGAAAACGUUUUCUAUUCAUAAUUUGCAAUUGAUCUUGCCGCCCAAUUAUCCUAUCUCUGAUUCAAUUCGGUUUGCUGAGUUUUUGAAUUGACUUGUUGUUUUGUGUUCAAUUGUCAGAUUCGGCUGAUUGGAUUAUUUCUUGAAGUUCAAUUUCGUGUUCUUGGCUUCCAAGAAUCCCCUAUUAAUAAGUGUUUCGAUUCUUGGCUGAUUCUUUAUUGUUUUGGGGUUUUUGUUUCAGAUUUGGAAUUCUAAGAUUUAACUUUUCUGUUUCGUUUCAGAUCUCAGCGUCUAAAGCUUUCGUAGGAUUUUCCCAUGACUUGACAACUCGAUCUUGGUCCACGCGCAACCCUCUAUCACAACAUAACUUACUUUAUAAAGUAAUGUACGUUAGUCAUUAUCCAACUGAAUUGAUGUUUAGUUAACUCGUGACGUAGGGGCGAAGUCAGAAUUUUUUCUAAAGGGGGAAGAGAUUAAGUUAUAUACUUUUAUAAGAGUUCAAAUGCAAUUUAACCCUUAUAUUGGCUUAUAUCUUCAUGGUUUUCAAAAGGACUAAAUUGAAAUUCUAGCAUUUUUAGGAGGUCAAACUAUAAUUUAUCACAUAUUGACUUAAAAUUUUAUAAAUUUUUGGGGGCCUAAAGAAGUAAUUUCUCAUUUUAGUUCGCUCAUGUCAUGACACUAACUUAGUUAAUGACUUAAUAUAUAGUAUAGAUGACAUUGUUACUAUUUUAAUUUAUUUUUUACGGUUUAACUUAGUUUCACCC
Molecule: long non-coding RNA, 1137 nt
Filed under: Gossypium barbadense (sea-island cotton)
Lineage: Eukaryota; Viridiplantae; Streptophyta; Magnoliopsida; Malvales; Malvaceae
Description: long non-coding RNA (GBAR_LNC013926)
Source: RNAcentral